This 24903-nucleotide long non-coding RNA is filed under the name Setaria viridis. RNAcentral's name for it is "long non-coding RNA (SVIR_LNC011422)". The record is from RNAcentral. Lineage: Eukaryota; Viridiplantae; Streptophyta; Magnoliopsida; Poales; Poaceae.
GAGUUUGCGUGGACCUCUGUUCCCUCCCUACGCAUAGCGAGGAGCAUGACACGAACCGCAGCUCUACUGAGUACCUUCCAACCAUGGCAACCGACCAACCGUAAAUUCAGUCAUUGGCAUGGCAAACGCAACACAGGGAAUUAUCGACGUGUGGUCCCAUGGAAAUAGAUCAUCCAAGGACACACUUAUUUCCCUCCCAAAUUUUAGAAGCUACUUUAUGGUCCAGAUCAAUAUGGUAAAAAAAACCACCUAAGAUGCUUAUCAUACUACCCACUAGGGACACUAGCUACUUUAUGGUCCAGAUCAAUAUGCUCAUAACACAUGCAUUAGAGUGUAUAAUUUGCAUAGACAAUCGAUCAAGUCUGUAUUGUUUUCACCCCUCACAUUAAAGAACUUUGCACGAUCUGGUUUGCUUGGGCCCCGUGUUGUAGUAACCCUGGCUUCAUCCCUGCUACCCACUACUCAAAUACUCGAGCCUUCGAUAACUACUUUACGGGCCGCUCCUCCACACUUUUUCUUUUGUAGACCAUCCAAGACUCGAACAUCUUUUAUCAUAGUACCUACUACUCAGCCGAGAGUGACGGCGUCGCUUUGGUUGGGCAGGACGGCGAGGGCUGGGACGUUAUUCAUCAGGAAUUACAUAUUAUUCACGAAAAAUCAGGAAUUACAUAUGUUUGCUCCGCUCAGGUGCUGCAACGGACCGAAAGAAUGGAAAAGGGCCUUUCAGUAAACUAACUGCCCCAAAGUUGGGCCCUUCUAUAAACACGUUUCAUCAGGCCCUUUUAGAGAAGAACUCAAAGGGCCUGACUAGCCCAUAGAAUGGCCCAACAACAAAAAAAAAAGUGUUGAAGACGCGCCAUCCGAGCGGGCCUCCCCUCAUCGAGCAUAUCCCAUUUUUCUGGCUCGCUAAAUCGUAGGCACGCAGGCAGCGAAAAAUACAGCUUGUUGUCACUGGAAUCAUUCUAUUCAAUAUUCUGGCAUUUUCAUUCCUCGUUGAUAAGCUUCGAGUUUGCGUGGACCUCUCUUCCUCCCUACACGGCUACGCCUAGCGCUGAGCUUGUCGAGGCCUGAGCUCAGCUUGGAGACAAAGUGAGGUCCGUCCUCCUAGUCCUAGUCCAACGCAAUACCGAUACCGCUUUUCCCGAAACUUUGGCAAGCCGCAGUCGUCCUCGUGCCUGGUUUGGCACUUUGGCUCGGUGAUCAUUGACAUCAUGACCCAAGAAGAUGUAUCUGGAAGACUUGUAUAUUUCCCAAAUUGCGGCGAUAUGUUUAUUCCAAGUGCACGUACAGUACUGUUUGCAGACCGAAGACAGGCACUCUUUCAGUUUAGUUUACCUCGAUUUCUUUAUGCGGGCCCCACUUUGAAAAGUUGAAGGCCUCCGGUCCUCCACUCCACCCCACUUGCUAACUCUGUCAAAUCAUCAUCAGCGCUAAUCCUUCGGUCUUAUCGCUAAAGCUCAGCCCACUUGCUUAGUUUAGCAAGGGGUUUAGCGGAGUGGUUAACAAUAACACACCUGAUUAGAAUAAGCUCCCAGCUGGGCCACUUGCCAAUACAGCCUUCCCACAAACUGGGGGGCGGAAGGGAGGAGGAGGUGGUGGUUCCGGUUUGGCGCCGCUGUCGCGGGCACCCGUCUCUGGGGCGUCGCGUGUGGCCGCCUCGCCACGGGCUCCAAGAGGCAAGGCUCUCUUCCUGCUCCGGCGCGUGGCGGGCACACGCCCUCCUCCUCGAGUCUUCGGUGCGCUCAGCGGCAACACGGUGGGCCGCAGAGUGGAGACCGUCGCCGAGCAUCGCCGAAAAGCUCAAAACCGCGGGCCGGGGCGCCCGGCACGCGCGGACAACUUGACCCCAGCCGGGCCAGGGCGCCCGGGUCUACACGUCUGGCUGCCUGUUGCCGUCGCUGUCCCCCGCCGCGCCUCGCGACAGCGGCUUCAGCGCGGACGCAACUUGGGAGGAAGGCAAGAGGCAGAUGCAUUGCACCUCCUGCCCAACCGCCGAAAUAGCGAUGGCGACGAGGGGACACGAGCAUGCGGGCCCUUACCUGCGUGUCCGCGGCGGCCGGCCUUAUCCCCUCACACGCUGCGAUGAAGCUGCACGCCCCGCUCAGCUGCUCUGCUCUCCUCGCCCCGCGAAUUUUGGAGCUCCCACGCCAUGCCAUGACCCACCGCUUCUUCCUCCUAGCCCAGCGCGUCCUCCCCCUAUUUAACAGCGCCUCCUCGUCGAGCCGAGACCACCCAUUCCAAACCAAACACAAGAGCUAGCUAGCGUCCGACUAGUGACUCGCGUCAACAACCAGCAAGCAGAGAGGCAAGAACCCAAGAGAGAAAGCAAGAUGUGUGGUGGUGCGAUCCUCGCCGAGCUCAUACCGAGCACGCCGGCGGGCCGCGUCACGCCGGGCCACCUCUGGCCGGCGGCAAGCAAGGGCAAGCAGCAGCGGAGGGCCGACGACUACGAGGCGGCCUUCCGGGAGUUCGACGAGGAGGAGGAAGAGGUGGAGAGCAAGCCGGCGUUCGCGUUCAGCGCUUCCUUCGCCGCGACGAGGAAGCUAAGGAGGCAGCAGCGCCAGGAGCUGGCCGCGCCGGCGCCGAGCAGGCGCCGCAAGGCCGCCCAGUACAAGGGCGUCCGCCGCCGCCCGUGGGGCAAGUGGGCGGCCGAGAUCCGCGACCCCGUCAAGGGCGUCCGCGUCUGGCUCGGCACCUUCCCCUCCGCCGAGGCCGCCGCGCUCGCCUACGACGCCGCCGCGCGCGACAUCCGCGGGGCCAGGGCCAAGCUCAACUUCCCCUCACCCGCCGACGCCGUCCAGAACAGCCGCAAGCGCGGCCGCGCCGCCGAGGUCGUCGACCUCGUCGCCGACGAGGAGGACGAGGCCAGCGAGAGCUCCGAUUCCGGCGCGCUCCCGGACUUCUCGUGGCAGGGCGUGUCGGCGUACGACGAGGAGGCCCCCGCGGCGCACCCCGCCCUGGAGGCCGCCGACCAGAGCAGCGGUGGCGCUAGCAAGCGCCAGAGGACCGAGCCGGAGAGCGCCAACGACGAGGCGUCGCCCCGGGCCUCCGACUCCGAGUCGGACGCCCUGUUCGACGCGCUCAUCUUCGGCGACCAGUUCGCCUACUUCAACGGCGGCGCGUACGAGUCCCUGGACAGCCUGUUCAGCGCGGACGCCGUGCAGGGCAGCAGCGCCGCCGUCGCGGCGGACGAGGGGAUGGGCCUGUGGAGCUUCGACGACGGCUGCCUCGUCGAGGACAACCUGUCGUUUUAAGCUUCCUCGCCUGUGGUCAUGUCUUGUAAACUACGGAUGGUUUUGUAAAAUUUUGUCUAGUUUGAAACCUUCAAUCGAGGAAGAGCUGCAAUUACCGUUCUCUUAACAUCUUUCCCGGAUCGAGGAAGAACAGAAAUUACCGUUCUCAAAAACAUGUUGCUCUAUCCUUUCACAUCCAAGCGUUGAUAGUCAUCUAGCCUUUGAUGAGGAAUUCUAUUGCAUCAAGUCUUACUGACUGCUUGAGUUGAUCAAUGUUAGUUCACAAAGAAAAAAUGGUUUAGGGGGUGUUUUUUUCUAGAGCUAAACUUUAGCCCUGUCACAUUAUUAGUCUUAAUAGAUUCGUCUUGUCUAGAACGUGUCACAUUAUUAGUCUUAAUAGAUUCGUCUUGUCUAGAACAUCUGCAAUUAGAUUUAAUAGAUUCGUCUCGCGAAAUAGCUCAUUAUUUCUGGGAUUUCUACAGUUAAUUUUAUAAUUAGUUCAUGUUUAAUUAGAUUUAAUAGAUUCGUCUCGCGAAUUAGCUCAUUAUUUCUGGGAUUUCUGCAGUUAAUUUUUAAAUUAGUUCAUGUUUAAUUAGUAUCCGAAUCUUUGAUGCGAUAAGAAAAGGACAAACACGCCCUUCAACUAGAAGGAAAUUGAAACGACGAACGUGGUUCUUUUCUGUUCCUAAGGUAAACAGUCGAGAGCAAGGACCAUUGAAAACAGGCGAAGCAUGUAUUCGCACGCAAAUCGCGAGGCUGAAUUCCACUGAUCGUCCUGUGGAGUCUGCAAGGUCGCGUACUCGCGUGCACCAUUAGUGCGUUGUUCCACGAAUGACCGGAGAGAAAGAAGUCUAGAACCAGCCAACCUUUAUCCAGCCAGUGCAAGAUUAAAUUACGAAGAGAAACAUAUAAUGAUACUUUCAUCUGACAUGUUUUUACUCUUUACAUAUAAUAUAUCAGGACAUGUUAAAUUAGGAAUAUGUAACAGUUUAUAUAUGCGAUUGUUCAAAUGAUUGACUUAUGAUUAUGUUUUGUUUAAAAUUGACAUUGAAUUGAAAAUAACAUGAUCAGUGCACCCAAGUUCACCAAUUCAAUUAAAUUUAACAAACUCAAUAUUGUCCUCAUGAUUUGCAAUUUAUGUUAUGUUUAUACAAAAUCUACAUAUUUAAAAUACAAAACAAUUAUCCUUAUAUGGUUUCUCUGGAGACUAGAAAUAUUUGUUGAUUCCUAAUGCAAUGAAACCAAAGAAAAUGUAGAAUGUUUAAGACAACCAGGCCAUUUUGUAAAACUAGUAUAGAAUUUGCGAACUAGGUUCUUUGUUUUUUUUUGAAAAAACAUUACCAUUUGGAUCUUUGAGCCACGAACUACGCACAGGUACUCCCAUUUCCUGACAAUUUUGUUCACUCGCUUUGACAGCGAGGUUCAUUUGAUUAGUUUAUGAGUAUGAUGAUUUAUCAUUAUUAUAAAAAUAAGAAAAAAGUUCUAUUUUCACCCUUAAACUAUCACAAAAGUCUAAUUUCCAACCUAAAACUACAAUACCAAACAACUAGGGCCAUUUAGCUAUCAAAACGGGGCAAAUUUGGCCUUUUGGAUGGUUUAGAUGGUGGUUUUGCAUUUUGUAGAAAUUUUAAAAUUUUUGAUUUAAUCAAAAAAUUCAUAACUAAUUCAUUUCAAAUCCAAAAAAUAUGAAUUUUUUACUAAAAGUUUUCUAAAGGGGCAGGUUGAUGAGCAUGAGCCUUGGCAUUUUGGAGAGGAUGUGCUCUUAGAUCUUUCUCUUUGUGUGCAAUAUGGAAAUUUGGCGGAAGGGCAUACUGUGACACCGCUGCGCUACAGAACUGACGCAGGAGGCAGAGUUUAUCACCUUGUAUUUUACAAAUCGGUGAUUCAUUCGGUGAUGACAAAGGGAUACUUUUGAAUAUUCGGACGAAAAAAGAAGAAGAGAGAGGAUGACAAGAUGAACUUUGCCAGCUGCAAGCAUGAGCCUCCCAGACGAUAGGGAAGACAUUUGUAUUCUUUUUCAUUAUCAUCAUCAGUUGCAUUAUUUUGUUGGCAACUCUCAGGACUCAGGGAGAGGAGAGACACUGAACUUGGCUUUCCCUUGCUUGCAAGGCGUCCCUCAAGUUGCAAAUUGUCAAAGCUACAACAUGUCGCAGUCUCACCAUCAGAUCAGCCAGCACGGCUCGGAGAGGUGUCGACAUACCGCGCACCAUCCCAUCAUCUAACAGGCACAACAACGCCGUCAUCUCUUAAACAAACAAGCCAAGAUGUUGCCAUCUUCUCCUACCCCCUAUCAUCUCAUCAGGGCUCCAGUCCAGGCCAAGCCUGGCUGUUUGCGUACGUGCACAGUGCGCCUGUAUCUUCAGCACUAUUUUGAUAGAUACGAGCGGGUGAUCCGUACUCCGGGUUUUUGUCAUGCAUGAUGCGUGUGUGUCUCCAAAGCUGGCCUCCAUUUUUUUUUCCGCCGUUCCAUCGCCACACUGCCAACGAACUAUAUGAUGUGUGGAAGUGGAAAUGAAUCUGAAUGUUUAGAGAGUGGUAUGUGCUUCUCUUGUGGCGACAAUGGGUGGACUCAAACUGUUAAGAAUCAAAACUAUUACUGCCUGUAAUUUUAGGUUAAGGUAAAUUAGACUCGCGCGUGCCCGACCUGAUUGGUACCUGAAUUUUCCUCAUCUCCCUCUUCACUCCAUUCAAUUCUCUUCUUCUUCUUCGAUGAGAACCCAAACUGUAUUGUGUGGCUAUGGCUUCGGUGAUUCUUCCUUUUCUUACCUCCCCAUUAGGCUGCUCAUCAUCUUCAUCCUAUCCUUUUCAUCAUCCUCAGCUGUUGUUCGUCGUCCCAAAUGCAAGUCCCGGCGACACGUUUGUUCAGUGUGAGAUACCGCUCUCCCCUUGAUACCUGGGACUGGAAGUGAUCCAUGGUUUUGCAGUGCAGCGUUCAGCAGAAAAGCUGGUUAGCACCGCGGUGUCGAUAUAAUAAUCAGGUGAUUGCCGAUUGGAUGGUCCAUUGCAUAAACAAUGACAGGCGUAGCUAGCUAAGAGACGACGACUGUUUGCAGUAGUCCAGACAAAGGAGCUUGGCUGCUUAGGUAAGGUAGCACGACGACUCGAGUGCCGUGGCUCAGGAACGCCAGGAUCGCUACUUUGCUAUCGGAAAAGGUAGUAUCAGAUGGGUGGAUUAAUAUACGCAUCCAGUUGAUGAUGAAUAGGCUCGUAGCAAAAUAAAACUAGCGUGAUCCGUCCAAUCGCAUGAACUAGCUUUAAGCGCCACGAAAGUAAACUCAGCGUCCACUUGGUGGAGAUGGAUACAGCCUUGCUGGAAACUGGCAGGCCGUACCAGGUUUCGGAAUCGCACGGUUCCCCCUUUGAAGCUACUGUCAGCGGGAACACAAGGAUCGAAUUCACAGUUUUACUGAAAUCCUUCUUUUUAAAAAAAUACUGAAAUCUGUAAUACACUAAUACUGCUAUACUGUACUUCAUUUGAUAAAAUUUUGCAAAUUCAAUGGCCACUUUCAGAAGAAGAACGAUGAGCUGUUAACCUGCUAAGCCCAUGCGGACAUGUUGACUUUCAGGUCGACGUGAAUUACUGCAGAGAGAGACGCGUCAAUGAAGGACGUGUUAAGCCAUCAUGCCGUGCAGCUUCAUCUGAUCGGAUCCGGAUGCCCUUUCUCGCCUGUCGCCUGUGGGUGGGAGAGUGAAGUGCAAACCCCAUCAGCCCAUUGGUACCUGCCAUCGGCCCGGCCCUUGAACGAGCCUUGCCGUCGUCUCCCAUCAGUUCUGGAGCCAGCCACGCGCCCUUGCGGCUAAUCGUACUCGUCGUUUCGUACGUGCUGACUUGGAUGUCCCUUUUCUUUCCACUAGUCCAUCAACCCGUGCUCCCGCACGGACUAAUAUUUUUAGAAGCUAUUGUAUUUGAAAAUUAUUUAGAAAUUAAAUUCCUAGCUAAUAAUCAAAAUUGAUUUCCUACUACUCUCUUAUUUUUUUCAAUACGUCAACAUAAUACUUAUAUAGAUAUGUACCUAUCUUUGUUCAGUUGUGAUUGAUUUUUAAUUAAUAAUUACUCUAUGCACUUUUUCAUCCAUAUUCAUACUUUUUCCAUUUUGUAUUAUAUCUCCAAUCCUCCAUACAUUAUGUUUAGCAUACAAAUCAAUAUUUUUCAUCGAUUCCUCACAUACAUGUAUAAAUGGUCUAAAUGGUGACACUCAUCAUGUGUAUAUACUUUAACUUAGUAUUUUUAUAUUAAUAAUGACAUAAAUAGGUAAUUUAGAAUCAUAUAUUAUUUUAUUUUUUGAUAUUUUUGUAUGAUACACAUGAAGAUAAUUAGAUUAAGAUUUAGAUUACGUGGGUAAUAUAGAUAAAAUUUUAGAAUGACAUUUUAAGUUAUGCUUUAUAAUGAUAUGUAUUAGUAAAUUGGAUGAAGAUUAUGGGGUUACUUUAGAUUAUUUUUUAUAAUAGCUGAGCUCGGUAAUUUAGAUAUAGGUUUAGAGCUCAUUUUUGAAUAUUUUCACAAUGAUAGUGGUGGGUAACUUUUUAGAAAAUAUAAUGGAUCAAUGGCUAUGAUUAUUAGAGUUUACAGGAUUGGUAUUUGAUGUUUUUGAUUUUUAUGAGAAUUUGUCUCUUUUUUCUAGCUUGUCUCGUGGGAACUAAUGCGGAGCCUCUAAUGGAAAAAAAAUGGGACUACAUUGCUAAAAAAAUAUUACCAUAAGCUACCUCUCGUUUGUUAAAUAUUCAAACACAAUACUUAUAUAGAUAUAUACUUAUUGUCUUCAUCCAAUUGUGAUAGAUUUUAGUUAGUAAUUACUCUAUAAUAUUUUCAUCCACAUUUAUAAUCUCUAACUUUUCACUUGCAUCGCAGGUAUGCACUUCAAUUUGUUCAAUGAACCCAAGUUUGUGAUAGAAUUUUAAUAUAGAAAUAUAUAUUCUCAUCACUUCCUCUAUAUCUUUAUAAAUGGUGACACAUCAUGUAUAUAGACCUUAAUUAUUAUAUCAUAUAUCAAUAGUGCAAGAUAUAGACGAUUUAGAAUUAUAUAUUGCUGUAUAUUUUUUAUUAAGGUUAUUUGAUUCAAACGUAGGGUUAUCAUGUUAUUUUUAAUAAUGGCAUAUGUGGGUAAUAUAGAUGCAAAUUUAACGGGUUACUUUAAGUUUUUAAGUAAUAGUGGUGGGCAAUUCGGUUGCAAAUUAGGGGGUUAUUUUAAAUAUUGUUUAUAAUGGCAUAAGUGGGUAAUUUUGAUGAAGAUUAGGGGGUUACUUUACUUUAUUUUAUAUAAUGGCAGAGGUGGGUAAUUUAUAUAUAGAUUUAGGGGGUUACUUUAGGCUAUUUUCAUAAUGGCAUAGGUGGGUAAUUUUUUAGAAAACAUAAUAGAUCCAAUGGCUAUGAUGAUUUGAAUCUAUCGAUUGAUGGUUGGAUGUUUUGCUUUUUUGUGAGAAUUUCUAGGAUUUCUCUCUUUUUCUAGAGUGUAUAUAUAGAUUUAGGGGGUUACUUUAGGCUAUUUUCAUAAUGGCAUAGGUGGGUAAUUUUUUAGAAAACAUAAUAGAUCCAAUGGCUAUGAUGAUUUGAAUCUAUCGAUUGAUGGUUGGAUGUUUUGCUUUUUUGUGAGAAUUUCUAGGAUUUCUCUCUUUUUCUAGAGUGUCCACCUAGGAAUCCUAGGUGGCUUCACCUGGAAGCUUCAAAAGGAGCCUCAAAUUAGUAAUAGUAAGAUAAGAUUGUUUCCCUCUUCGUUCGGGACGAGGCCUCGCCGUCGCGGUGACGCGAUCGCGCAACGCUUUUCUUUCCUUCUCACGCCUUUGCCCUCACGACCUCCAUAAAUAGUCGCCACCGCCGGCGACCAACACCAUCACAGCACUACACCGAUCCACAGCUGCUUCACCGCUCACGGCCUUCUUCAUUCCGACAGAGCACACUAGGCAUCUAAUAAGCUAAGCUAGCAAGAUGUGUGGCGGUGCGAUCCUCGCCGAGCUGAUACCGAGCGCGACGGCCGGCGGCAAGGGCCGGAAGCGGGCCCCCGCCGCGGCGGCCAAGGACGACGACUUCGAGGCCGCCUUCCGGGAGUUCGACGAGGACUCCGACGAAGAGGUCGUGCUGGUGACGGAGCGCAAGGCGUUCGCGUUCGGCGCCGCUGCCGGGGCUCGGCGCAGCAGGCGGCCGAGCCAGUACCACGGCGUCCGGCGCCGUCCGUUGGGCAAGUGGGCGGCCGAGGUCCGCGACCCCGUCAAGGGCGUCCGCGUCUGGCUCGGCACCUUCGCCACCGCCGAAGCCGCCGCGCGCGCCUACGACGACGCGGCGCGCGACCUCCGCGGCGCCGGCGCCAAGCUAAACUUCCCGACGUCGUCCUCCGCCACGGCGCGCACCAGCAAGCGCAGCGCCGCCGGCGCCGCCAAGGCGGUGCCGUACGUCGACCUCGUCGACGGAGACGAUGUUCCUGACGCGGCGCACGCGCCGUCAGUCAAGAGCGAGGCGGAGACCAGCGACAGUGUCUCCGACGCCAGCGGCUGCAGCACCCUGCCUGACUUCUCGUGGCAGGGCAUGUCCGCGACCGACGACGGCGCGACGUGGCCUGCUGCUGGCUUCCACGUUGAGCUCGGCAGACCCAGCAAGCGGGCCGGGACGGAACCCCAGGAACCCGAGGAGGAGGAAAUGGCGCCUCCACCGGCGGCGUCCGAGGAAUCCGCCGACAUGCUGUUGGACGCUUUCAUGUUCGGCGACCAGUUCAGCUUCUUCAACGGCGGCGCGUACGAGUCUCUGGACGGCCUGUUCGGCGGCGACGCGUCGCUGUCGCUGGGCAACGAGGGCGUGGGGCUCUGGAGCUUCGACGACACCGUGUGCUAUUAGGCUUAAGCUUUCCUUCAUUCAUCUACCCUGUUUUCCCGGAGAAGUGCUCGCUUCAUCGUCCUGCACUGUUGCUCGUGUUCUGUACAAAUGCUCUCGUUGCUAUGAAUCCUUGUGGUUUGUAAUCACAUGUUGCAUCAUUGAGGUUUUCAAGUCUUCAUCUUCAGUGACCACGUGCUUAACUGAUUGUAAGACGACCUGCUAACAUCUGAACUGAACGUUACAAUCUGCUUCUUGAUCGCUCCUCGAUUUGUUGUUACUUUCUUCAUCAUACAAUAUAUUAAGUUCAAAAUUUUGAUUAAAGUUGGAUAAUUUUUUCUUAGGGCAAAAUUAAAACAAACUUAAAACAGAGAGAGUAACGUUCAUCUCUGAAGAUUACGCGAGACCUCACCAUAGCGUUCAACCGGAUAGGUGGUGUACUAAGAGGAUGCUGCUCUGCGACCUUUUAGCCUGACCGUAGGAAGGAAAUCGAUCUUGCAAGUGUUUGCACGGCAAUCGGCACCAGACCCAGCCCAACUGCGGAUUUGGGUUGAAGCAACCAACCGGUCGUGUGGUAACGCCUGACACAUCCCAACCUGGCAGUGGUAGCUGAAACAUCGUGUGGUGCCGAGCAGAGGAGAGGGGAGGACGAGGGAGUAGGAAACAUCGUGUGCCGGUGGUCAAGAAGAAGAAGAAGGGUGCUGUAUCGCUGGCGGCUCUCCUCCUCCUCGUCGUCCUCUCUGGUGUCUCUGUUGCAUCAUCCGUGCGCCGCCGCCGCAGGUGCUACCGCAUCAACAAAGACGGCAUCAAAGUAGGGCUGACCGGGGUCGAGCCCUUGGUGGUGGCCAACAAGCCAGGAGUCCUGAGCAAGUGAGCAUGUCCACCAUGGGACUGUGGGUCUUUCCGGAGGACGGCACACCUUGUUCAAGAAAUGCUUCUAUUGUCCCGACCAUCCUUCGGUCGGAGUUCGAAAUUUGCUGAUGCAAGUCCAUCUAGUUCAUUCCAGGCAAAAAUCAAUUACUGUGAUUUCCUUCUUAUAUAAUCUGAGUUUAGUUGCCAUGAAAAAUUCACAGUUUCUUUUUUUCGCGCUUCCAUUCCUACGACACAUGCAUGCCGCAGAUCUGUACAUAGUUUUAAUUUCUUCUUUACGAAAAAAAGGAGCUACUGUAGUAUAUCGGUGAUGCUCCUCGUACCUUCCAGCGAGAUGCAUCACGCACGCACGUACACAAAAGAAAGAAAAAACAAAGAAUGUUAGUACAAUUACAUAACCUCCUCAUAGUACUUAAGAAAACAAAAGCAUGAGAAAACAACCUAGUAAUGGAAUAGAGUAAUCGAAUGUGCAAGAAAACAUAACCAAAAUACAAAUGAAAGUGAUGCUUACUUGAUUGAGUUGUACAACCAACAUUAAUCUGCAAGUUGCUAGUCUACUACUAACUUAAUCUCUAAAGUCUGAACAAACUACAAAUGUACCAACGGAAGUAAAUAGGCUCAGAGUGGAGCGGACGUGGUGGGAGGGGGAGGGGGGGGGCACAACCCCCCUAAAAGAACUAAAAGAAGAGGUGGAGAUGGAGGAGGAGGAAGAUAAUCCUGCCUCCACCACUGGCUCAGAGCACAAGGGAGCGUAAGGCUAACUAAAGGAUAAAUCAACGCCAUGGUGAUAAUUGCGGGUGGCUCACGGUGCUCUGCCUAGCACCUGAACUUGGAUUUCAACGGGUAAGAAGAGCAUGUUGGGCAGCACGGACGGUGGUGCCGGUGUCCCUGGCUCUGGGAUCAUCAACCUCACCGCCGGUAGGAUGAGCUCGGGGUGGUAGGUCCAAGUCAAGUAGGCGAGCAUGUUGGGCGACUCGGGGCGGUAGCCCCGGGAUCAUCAAUAUCUCUGCCGGUGGGAUGAGCUCGGGGCAGUAGGUCAAGCCCGGAGCCGAAACUCCACCACGUCGGCGCGGUUGGCCGUGUUGGCGUGGAGGCGCUCAAUCCAACGGGGUUGGAAGAGUACCGCCUCCGUCGUAGCAAUCUCCCAGUACGCUAGUAGACCUGUGAUGGAGAUCUCCACGUAGUGGACUCGCGAGCCGGAAAGGACGCGUUCAACGUCCGCCAUCGAUGGCAACACCACCAUGUACCCGGCCGGGAACUGGUGGAUAGUGAGGUUGCAUGCGGAUUGGGGGCUCCAGCCACCACCAUGUACCCGCCCGGGAACCGGUGGAUAGUGAGGUUGCAAGAUAGGGGGCUCAAGACCCACCCACCCCCGCGCGGUGCAGGCGUUUGUGUUGCGUUUUCCAUCGCUGACAACUUGCACUGGGUCGGUCGAUCCAAUCCAUCACCGACACAGCUCGCUUGUAUUAUUGGGUUCAGUCAUUGUAUUCACUCAUGCCUCCAUGCAUCUAUCGUGCGUUUUCUUAAGCCCGUGCGUGGUUAAUUAGCUACAUCUCGAUCUAUCCUCAUGCAUCAUCUGGCAUUGUUAGUGCUAUACACGGACGACAGCUGCGUUUUGUACCUAGAACCAGAAGUUGAAAGGCAGGAGCUGCGUUUUCUAGACCGGUUCGUCAGCUGCGAGUCGGUGCGGCUAAAAAUCAACAGGACAUCCUCCAUACAUUGCUGAGCAGUAACACGUCAGAAAAUCGUGCUGAUGGAUCCAAAGGUGAUGAGCAUUAAUUGUUGCCUCGUUGGUGAUGGGGUACGGUGGCAGAACCAAAUAAUAAAGCUAGGAUGGGCGACCGGAAGUGCCAUGGAGCCUUGGAGGCAUGCAGGGAAAGGAGGUUGGAGGCUUGGAGCUAGCUAGAAAUGCAAACCAUGGGGAAUAGAGAGGUUGGUGACGACGAAAGGUGGAGGAGCGUAUCUUUCCUAGCUUGUUUGUCUCACUGGCCGCUCGUUGUCAUCGAAAGCAAGCAGACGCAUGUUGCGGCUGGGCGCACUGCAAGCAGAUGCAUAUGUGUCCCACUGAUGUGCCAGCUGAUCGGUCAAGUCUGUUUUGUCCAGCAACAUGGGCGCUCUCAUCCGUCUUGGAUGGUGACGGGAUCGGAUAUGCUGUGGGGUGACGGACAUGGCGCGGCCGGACGGACGGACUUGCUGGCUGGCUGGACACAGACGAUCCGUGCAGUGGAACGUAUGGCAUGCUGCACCAGCUAUACUUGUCCCGUUGGGCGAGCACCAACUAUACGCUCGUGCACCUCAAGUGAUUCGCGCACUGCUCGCUCAUCUAUAAAGGCAGCAUAUGCACAUGCACAUGUUCAUUCACCUCUUCGGCUAGACCUCCAUCUGGAAAAGUAGGCACUGGUUCACGCACGGUUAAAUUCACAUCAUGAAACGAACCUGCAGCCAAUCGAGCUAUGUGAUGAUGCAGCCAUCUGCGCUUCGUCGAUUCGAUGUUAAUCCCGGCCAUCAACGGCAACCAACUUGAGCCAAGUGUACCGACGCGGUGCCCGUGUACCGCGAGCUGGCCCCGGGAGUUUGCCGUGUGCGGCAGCUGGUUCGCGUCCAACCAGGCGUGCACGCAGCCAACCGGGUAGCUAUUCGUGGUCCGCAACGACGCCAAGCACAGCUCGUCCCCGGCUUGCUGCAGCGCACCAUCUUCUAUUCGGCGCACUGCUGGCUGGCUGGCUCGCUCGCUCAUAGUCCACAAAGGGAUCGGAGGCAGCACCGCCCCGCAGCAGGGUCAUAUCCGUCGUCAUCGAUCCAUUUACAAGGCGAGCCACCGCUCCCGCUUGCCCGCAGCAUGCAUCGCGCUGCUACUGCUCGCAGCAUGCAUCAGUAUGUAAGCAUUUCACUUUUUCACCUUGCUAAGGCAAGUGUAAAUAUUGUAAAGUUGCCGAUGAUCUUUCCCAAAGUUGAGCAGCCAUAUGCCGCCCUCGGGCAUACCAGGUUGGGAAAACCAGGGACAGAGUACAUAGCGGCGGAUUUUUGACGUACAAGUGUACAGCAGAUCUAUACUAUACAUUAGUAAACAACACUACCUCUAAAAAAAUAAUAAGAACGCAACAGGUUUUAUAUGUAUACGUGGACAGAUAGGCUGAAGUCAUGAGAACAAUGUUCUUCCAAAGAGCGGCGUGGCAAUACAAGCCUCUAGCGUACCAAGCAAGCGGCGGCGGCUGCUAUGGCGGUUUGGCAAAUCAUAUGACCUUCAAGAAGUAAGGGAUUUGCUGGUUGGUCAUUAAUUAUUUUUAUAUGAAAUAAAUUUGUCCUAUGCCAACAACUCUUUUUGGGCGUCUCUUUGACGUAAUAAAGACUUUAAGCAAUAAAAAUAAAAACUUGUGCAAGAGCUUUUCUCUAGUAUCUCGAUUGAAUGCUGGAUCCUAAAAAUAUUCAUUCAGAUUUCUCAUGUCCCAAGGACUUGUUUGUGAGAAGAGUGAAUAUAUACUUACACUCUAUCUUUUUAAUUCUCGAAAAACCUGUCGAUUCCAUUUACUGGUACUAUCUAAUUUUCGAUUUUCAAUAUAUACAAACGUAUUAGAAUUUUUUUUGAAGGAGCAACUUACUGGAAUUUUAAAAGGUCAAACUCUAUAAGUUUGACAAACAGUUAUUUCAUUUUAAUAUGAUAUUGAUUUUAUAACAAUUAAUCACAUAUUCAAAAGGUAAAUUAAUCGUCCAAAAUACUUUAAAAAGAAAGGCAGGGAGUAUAUUGUUUGCUUUUGCCAGGUAGGCGGAAUGUGGUGACCACAAGCCAUACUCAAACAUAUGACUAUAUGAGCAUUGGACGUGCGAUUCGUGAUGAAGUAGUCAAAAGUACUAGCUGCAUUAUGAUGGAGACAUGCUUAAUAAAGGUGUUAGGGAGAUAAGAUUUCUGUUUAGCUGAUGUGCCCAUUCUAAUCCCUCAUUAGCUGUUUGUUGAUCUGUUUGCUCUACCUUAAAACUGUAAGUUGUUGGCGUGACGACUGAAGGCAGUUGUUGUUAUGUGACCGUGACAUCAUUGCUCAAGUAAUCAACAUGGGCUGUUGCAGUGGAACGAGCGAGAUUAGGGCGCCGUCGUCCUUUUGUAAGUUUAUCAUUGACGGCCAAGUGGGGAGGAACGAGGCCUUUGCACAAGUAGCUCUGGAUGGUUGUCAGGCCUGAAUGACGAGGAGGGAUGAACCGGCAGCUGAAGGGACAGUCACCCAGACAGUUUCAGAACAAGUGGCAUUAACUGACGAACGGAGCACAAGAUACUCCUCCAAUUGCAGGAGCACGCAUAGUAGGACGAUUCUUCAUUAGUGCUAAACUGCUAAUGUAAUCAGCCCAAGCAUCGACCAGAGUUCCCAAGUGAAGCGUUUGAACGAAAAUGUUUCCAAAAAAAAACGUUGAACGAACUUACAGCACCUAUCUACUCCCUCCAUUUCAAAUUUCUAUUCACUUUAAUUUUAGCAUAAAUCAAACUUAUCUAACUUUAACUAAAUUUAUAAAAAAAUAUCAAUCUCUACCGUAACAAAUAAAUGCACAAUUAAGACAUAUAUUAUAGUGGAUUCAAUCGAACUAAUUUGAUGUUGUAUAUGUUGACUUUUUUAAUAAAUUUGAUCAAAUUAGAUAAGUUUGACUUAGAGUAAAAUUAAAGUGAAGAAGUAAUUUCGGAAAAAAAAGCGAGUAGCACAGAAUAUUUUCUGAAAGAGUCAUCGUGAUGAAAUGGUUUAUGAUCACUCGUCUACUUUGUGGCAUUGUUUUCUGAUUUUUUUUUUUAAUUUUGGCUGUAGCAAUUAGCAUAGAGGGAGAGAGCUUGAUCAACCUAGAAGAACAAGGUGGCUUCCCAUACUAGAAGAAAUAGGCACCCAAUCGAGCUAGCUUAGUUCGUUCAAUUAGCAUAGGACAUAACAAAAUUAUAUUUUUAGAAUAUGAUUUUGCGUGUGUUUUCAUUGUUUAUGAUGAUGAGAAGUGAAAAAAAACCCCCCAUAUAUGUGCGUAUCUUCGUCGUUUCAGUUUAACAUGUGUGUAUUCAUCAUUUCAAUUGGAUGGGAAUAUACGAAUGAGCAUAGUCACUUGUUAACACAUUCCGAUUCCAGAAUUCAAGUUUCAUUCAUUCAAAUUGGGAAAAGCUAUCCAUUGCUCGGGUGUUUUAGGAGCUCCCGUCACCUGAAUUUUGUACCGUCCAAUCUAACGAUGUGUGGUGCUCAUUCAUUCGCUUUCCCGUUACCUGCUGCUACCCACUGCCUCCUGCUGCAGCUGGCACAGCUCUCUGCCUCCUACUGCAGCCUGCGCCGCUCUCUGCUUCCUGCAGCGCUCCGACCAGGAGGCAGUCAUCUGAGCAUGUGUUGCAAGCAGGUAGACAACGCUCCGACUAGGCCAUGGUGACCGAUUUUGAGCUGAGACACCGUGCGGCCUCGUGCUCCCCCGUGAUAUAUCGGCAGUGCAAGCCUAGUUGAAGGGAGGCAGUAGAGUUUGCUAGCAUUUACCGUUUGAAUUAUAUUAAUUUACAGUGCUUUAGUUGUUGUAAAUUAUUUAAACUUGUCAUGUAAAUGAGUUGCAAUUUUUAAUUUUGAAAUCUGAUUUGUAUUUUUGCAUUCGAGGGGUUUCUCACAAUUAUAAAUAAUUUGUUAUCCGACUGACUAUAGAAAAAAUUUGUUAUCCGAUUGACUAUAGAAAAAAUUUGUUUCAGUUGUUAAUUUUGCCUUUUGCAUGUUAUUUUUCUUUCUCUUUUCUGCAUCAUUUUAUUUACUAUGUGCUCUGUAUAGUUGUUUUCUUUCUGCAUCAUCUAAUCAGGAUCCUAGAGCCAUAAUUUUCGGGUGACAGAUCUGUUUCCAACGCCUGAUUUUUUUCCACUUCAAAACAGGGUGUUAUACCCCUGCAAAUCACCCGGGUGAUUGUUGGCCCAAUAAUACCCCGGUGAGGAGUAGACACUCCCUUCAAAUUUUAUCUGAAAUACAACCUUACGGCAGCAGGAAGGGAAUGCAACGUGGCUUACCACUUGGCGCGCAAAUGCACCGUGGGAUCCAUUAAGCUGUGCUAGGUGCGUGACAUGUGGCAUGCUACUCACCAUGCCAAGUCAUCCGCCAACGGUCCUAGCUGGUUUAUAAAUCUCUUCCCUCCGUUGGCAACCUUCCUGGUUCCAAACAACACGAACAACCCAGAGAAAAAAGUUUCGGAGGGGUGAACAAUGUGCGGAGGCGCCAUCCUCACGGAGCUGAUCCCGUCGCCACGGCGCGCGGCGUCGAAGCCGGUGACCGCGGGCCACCUCUGGUCGGCGGGUUCCAACUCCAAGAAAGCCGGCAACGGCAGUGACAAGGGGCACCACCACGCCGACAUCGACGACUUCGAGGCAGCCUUCGAGGACUUCGACGACGAAUUUGACGAGGAGGUGGAGGAUCACCACUUCGUGUUCUCGGCCAAAUCCGCAUUCUCCCCAGGUAAUCAACGUCGUCGCUGCUCAUUAAUUCAAGGGUGUUCAAUAAUCUGUAUCGGCAAGAAUGUUCACGCACGUUCUUGGGUUUGAUCGUGACGUGCGCAAGAGCUGUUAGUGUAAUCUCAAGGGAAAGAACUCUUGUAGCCCACGGCGGGCGCGCGGCGAGCCAGAAGAAGCGCGGCCGCCGCCACUUCCGCGGCAUCCGGCAGCGGCCCUGGGGCAAGUGGGCGGCGGAGAUCCGCGAUCCGCACAAGGGCACCCGCGUCUGGCUCGGCACCUUCGACACCGCCGAGGACGCCGCCCGAGCCUACGACGUCGAGGCACGCCGCCUCCGCGGCAGCAAGGCCAAGGUCAACUUCCCGGCGGCCGGCGCGCGCCCACGCCGCCGCGGCAACCCGAGAGCCGCGCCGAAACCGCAGCACCACCAUGCUGCAGCGGCGGAGCAGCCCGCGUUGCUCGCAGGAGAGAAGAAGCAGGAGGAGAUCGCCGUGAAGCCUGAAAUUACGGUGUCGUUCGACGUGGACGGUUUCUUCAACAUGACCUUCCCCGCCUUCCCCGCCGCGCCGCUGGCCAUGGAGAGCUCCUUCACCGGCAGCACCGAGCCGGAGUCCGGUAGCCCCGCGAAGAAGCCGAGAUACGACAACGAGUCGUCUGGUGGGAUGAGCUCCGGCGGUGGCUCCACGCUGGAGCUCGCUGACGAGCUGGCGUUCGAUCCGUUCACGCUGCUCCAGCUGCCCUACUCGGGCGGGUACGAGUCCCUCGACGGCCUGUUCGCCGUCGACGCCGCCCAGGACGUGAACGGCGUGAACAACGGCAUGGACGGCGUCAGCCUGUGGAGCUUCGACGACUUCCCUGCUGACAGCGCUGUCUUCUAAUGUGUAACCUACCAGUUGCGCUCAGUUGUAAGCACCUGAACUGAAUCCAUAGCCAUGGCUUCUGUUCCUUGUGUUCGUCUACUACUGGAUCACGAUCACCCUUUGUCAGGAUCUGGUUCUUGGUUCAGGAACGGCGUCGGUGCUCAACCGGACGAUCGAUGCGGCUGAGGGCGACUGGCCAUCGCUUUGCUUGGUGUUUGGUGUGUAAUCAUACGUCAGAUUACUGUACUGCAAGCGUUUGCUUGCUAGAACCUGUAUCUGUACUGCCGGCCUCCUGAUCAAACCUGUACUCUCUACUAUGAAUAUUUGUACUACUCGUUUGGGUGCUUUGCACUACUGUUGGUCAAUAGUCCUAUGAAUUCGAUCAUGUCGGCAAUGGUCGUCUAUAUUGUACGGUUGUGAUUGUUAUGCCAAAUAAACUUUGUGAACCUGGUUCUACAUGCAGUAUCUUGUUCAUGUGUCACCUAGCCACCCUGCCAUGCUUGAGUUGGAGCGUGCAAGGCGAUCAUAAUUUUCUGAAUCCUGUUAGAUGGUGAACAAUUUUGCUUCCUGUAUAGGUUGUGUCUUGUGUAACUUCGUGUAAACAUGGCAUAACUUCACUAUUUUUUAAACAAAAAAUACAUGGAUCUUGCAAAAUUACCUACUUGCAAACAUGUAAAAGAAAGGCUCCAUAACAAGCAUAACUUCACUAUUUUUUAAACAAAAAAUACAUGGCGUGCUAAUCUUUUUUCGAAACGAACAGGCAGGGGCCGAUUAUAUUAAAAAGAAGGAGUUCUAGAUUGAAAAGAUAAAAAAUAGAAUAAAAAAAAUAAAAUAGACUCGCCCGGUUGUAUUGGGACAUCAACACGGGUAGUCACUCAACUCAACACUGCCAGACGCGAUCGGUUAGAUUGGGACAUUAACGCAGCCUCAUCACUCCACUCGCCAUGGCGUCACCCACCAACCUCCAUGCUUAUAAUAUGCCGAAACCUCCAAGCGUGACCCGGCGUCGACAAGGAACCGAUAGAAACGGACCGCACCGCACCAAAAAGGCCACCGCCAUGUGGGACCUUCUGCUGUAGUAUCGCUGCAACACCACACUCCACCUGAAAGGGUGAAACCACCGAAUCCGGACCUCUCGCGGGCUGCCUCGCAGUCGCCACCAUGAUAACACAACGCGAGAGGGCCUUGCCACAUCCACCGUGAGACUCCACCUCACUCUCGUUGCUUCGAAGAAAAACACCACGCACGGAUCCGUUUCUUUUGUCGUUGUCCGAGUGGUGAGCAAGGUUGCCCCGCUCCACAAGCUCUCCUCGAUCAGCCAAGCCGGCGCCACAGGGUCGACCUCGCCUCAUUGCUUCACCCACGCACAAGCAUCCGCCGCCAUGUCAGCAAACCAGAGAAGUCGCUUGCGCCGCCUUCUGACAAUGUACCGCAUCAGGUAGCCCAGCCAAGCUGAGCAACCCGCCGUGAUCCGCUGCAAGCCUAGUUAUCCCAUGAUGCCGUUGCCGCAAGCGUUGUCCUCCGACGCAGUCCCACGCCGCACUGACCGUUGCCAAGCAACACCAGGCGUCGUGGUCCACUGCAAGCGGCCAAGACCGACAUCAUGUGACAGCCCCUGACCGCCACCAUAACUGCGAUCAUCUCCAUGUGGCCUCUGCAACACACGUCCAGCUUGCCACACGGCAGAAUUGUCGCCAACGGCUGCGGCCAUCCAUGACUUAUGGACCAGGAAUGCCAUAGAUCGAGAUGGGUCUCUAGAGAUGAUGCCUCCAAGGAGGGCACGAUGCCAAUGGUGCCGCCGUCGCUCGUCCAGAAUCUGGACAGAGUUUUCACCCAGAAGCCCCCGCGCCAUAGGAUUGUAGCUCAGAAAUGACGCCCCCAACGAGGAGAAUGACGCCGCUGUCAUCUCCACCAGCAAGCACCGGCGGGGCUUUUGCCUAGAGCAUCCCAACCCCUGCACGCUCACGGCUCGGCACUCCCGGCCACAGUCACAGCAGCCUGUUCGGGGCAUCAUCGCCGUCGCGCCUCCUCACACUGCCGUACCUCCACCUUCGAUCUCACACCGGCAGUCAUCCUCCUUGCCGGCUGCUGCACUCCCUCCGCGUCUCCUCCUUCGGCACCUCCUCCACAACUCCUCCUCCCGGCCGCCCCUCCACAACUCCUUCUCCAUCGGGCCGCCUCAAACGCGCUCCGUCAUCCACCGGGGCUGGGGGCUCCCGCCGCACCCGCCAACCUUCACUAGGCCGCCUCCACCAUCGCGCGACCUCGGCCAUGGCGUCGAGCGCCCAGUCGAGCUCGUUGACGGAGUAACCCAGUAGCUCGAUGCAGUCGCGCAUCGCCAUCUCCCCGCGCGUGUAGUUGGAUGGCGUGACGAGCCCCCUGACUGCCCCUGCAGUGCUCACAGCCUCGUCGAGCCCGCCGCGUCACCGGCGAGCGUGGUGGGUGGCGCGGCGCCGCCCGUAGCGCAGGAAAAGCGAUCGGAGCCCGCGUCCGCAGCGCAGAGCAUGCGGCCCGACACACCGGGGGCACGUCCACAGAGCGGGACUCCCCCGCCGCCAGUGCGAAGCCCGUGGUGGAGAGCGGCGACGACCCCGCGCUCGACGAGAGCCCCCCGCCGUCUUCACCCGGGCCGCCGCCGCCUUCGCACGACCGCUUGCCGGCGUGGUUCGGGGGCAACGGAUCCGAGGGCGUGGAGGCCGGAUCCGCCCACGGCAGGGUCGGAUCCGGGCUGCUGUUGCCGCUGUGGCGCGCCAGCGGCCGAGGUCCUUGUGCCGCCCCGCCUCGGCGCACGAGUCCCGGAUCAGCCGGUCUACCCUACCGCCGCUGUCCUCAGGAGCCGGACGGGCUUCCGGCGGCCCCCUCCGACGGCGGCAAGGUGGUCACGAGGGUGGGGGGGAGGGGGGUUAGCGGUGGCAGCUCGGGCGCUGCGCGUGUCGCUCGCGGGAGGAGCGACGCGGCGGCAUGCCAAUCAGAACCCCUGAAAAAGAAUAGUUCAGAGAACAUGAACAUAUCAUUUCUACGUGCUGGCAACAGUUCUUUGCCAUUUCAUUUAUUCCAUGAGACCAUGACACCAAAUUUCGACCACCUGGGAAAACAAUUGUCUCAAUUUUCUAGGUAUUGCUAUUUCUACGUGCUGGCAACAGUUCUUUGCCAUUUCAUUUAUUCCAUGAGACCAUGACACCAAAUUUCGACCACCUGGGAAAACAAUUGUCUCAAUUUUCUAGGUAUUGCUUCACGAAAUAGUCUUGUGAGUUGCGACGGAUGCAGAAACCACCUCGCAAUCCGGUGGGCGCACUACUGGUUUUCGACAGCUGCCGGACGAUAAUUUAGGCUGCAAUUUGCACACCUUGCUAUUAUCUUGCUCGCCCCGAUGUAGUUGCGACCGCGACUCGGCUCAACUACGUUCCAAACUGAAUUGAGUUGCAGGAUUCUCAAGCAAAAGAUAGAAAAAUUCACAAGUGGAGGCAGAAAAGCAAACGCCUCAGCCCUCGCGUUUUUUUGGCUGCAACUUGAUGACCUGAGGGCCAUGCCAUUAUCAGUCGGCAGCGCCUAUUUUAACUUCAGAAAACUGCCAGUUGCGCCGACUCGGCCCUCUUCAGAAUCUGCCCGUGAUGAUGGCCUGAUUUCGCCGCCCAUGAUUCUUCGCAACGAUUGGAUCUUCCCAGCAUGGUUGCUGAUAAAAUUAGUUGCCUAGGUCGCCAAUAAUUUGUUUGGCUACUCUUCUCACCUGUUCCGUUAGCUGGAGAAUUCUCCCCAUCACAUCGUUGUAGAGGAAUUAUAGAAUCCUCGACCCUCUAGAUGCAAAGUUCUUUUCAGCAAAACAAAAGGUUGCUCACAAGCUUAUCCAUUUCUGGCACAGAACGACAGAACCUUCAAGAUCGAUAAGGCUAACCAGUGCCACUGUUAGUUGUGUCCUCAGAGCACUGUUACUUGUCCAUGCUUGUACAGAGAAGGGGAUGACUCGACAAGUUUGGUUAAGGGUUGUCGCCUCUAGAAGAGAUUUUGGAUUUUGUUGUGAAGUUGCAGAGAUGGAAGCGCCUCCGGUCGAUCUUCUUCUCCUUCGAUUUAAAGCCUGCAUAAACAGAGCACAGAGCACACUGCACUUUUGAAGAAACUGUUGCUUCACAGUCUGAAAUUGGUUGGAUACAACAGCAUUUCCAAUUCACACCAAGACCUCAGAAAGAGAGAGGAAGCGUAGAUGAAACCAAAAUCGCCUCUCACUCUGAUGAAACCAAAUUCACGCCAACAGCAUUUCCAAUUCACGCCAAGACUCGUAAAGGGCCUUACCAAAAUCACCUCUUUCUGCUGAAACCAAUGCAGUCAAUAAGAGGAACUCACAGUCCUUCAUAGUUGAGGCAUCACCUUGGACAGGGGCAGCACUUGACAACUGACAGGGCCCGAUGAGCAAUGUGCAUGACUUGGGAUGCUAUAAGUAGCAAUGCCACGUCAUGUGUAUACGCAUCAAACCGCAGGGCUCCCAACGUUUUCUGCAAAAGGGGUUUGGGACGGUCUUAUACUAGUAUGGCAUGGAUGAUACGCCUCUAGAUUCUGUCCUAUCUGCAAAUAGCAGUUGCCAACUCUGCAAGUCUGUGGGAGACUGGGAAUAGAAAAGUAGAAAACCCAGGGCCACGGGACUCUCGGACCGCCCAUGGCUUCGUGGGCUGAAAAGAGCCCAUGGUAUCGCACAGGGGCACAGAAUUUUUUUAUAUAGAAGUAGACCGCUGCAGCUGGAAUAAACGGCGGAAAAAUUCAAACGGUGGUAAUUUCUCAAGAUAGUAUACUUUUAAAAAAUCAUAUCUAAUUCGUAUGAAUUUAGAUAGAGGUAAACUUUAUAUGAAAAUUGUAGAUCUUGAUGAGAUCUAUCGAGAUCUACAACUUUGUAGUUUAAAAUUUUUUAUCAUCUUGGUACUCAAUUAAUCGUCGACUCAAUUAAUCGACACAAGUUUAAAACUGAGCAGCACACAUUCAAAAAAUCAUAACUAAUUCGUAUGAACUCGGAUAGAGAUAAGUUUUAUAUAAAAAUUGUAGCUCUAGAUGAGAUUUACAACUUUGUAAUUUAAAUUGUUUUCAUUUGGUUUCUUUUUUUCUCAAAUAAUCAACACAAGUUUCAGAUCUAAAAUUGAAUUUUAGAUCUGAAACUCGUGUUGAUUGUUUGAGUAUCAAGAUGACACCAAAUGAAAAAAGUUUGAUCUACAAAGUUGUAGAUAUCAUCGAGAUCUACAGUUCUUAUGAAUUUCCAUCCGAGUUCAUACGAAUUAGUUACGAUUUUUUGGAAAUGUGAAAGGAAGUUACUGCCGAUUCAACUAGUUUACUUCCGCCAUUUAAUUCGACAGUAGAGAUCUAUUUCUGCAAAUUUUUAAAUCCGCUAUUUAUUUCUGCAAAAUCGUGAAAGAAAAAAUAUAGAAAUAAAAAAAAUUCAGGGGCACACAUAGCAGAGUCUGUGGGCGCACACAAUAUAGAGGGAGAAAGAGAAACCGGCGCGCGCGGUUUGUUUGGUUGGGUGCGGCGACGAAGACGACGACGCCCACGGUCUCCCACGGUCUUCAACGGCCCACGCCAUCCGGUUCCUCUAUUUACAGUUCCCACGCGCGAGAUUUUCCCUUCACGGUCGCUCUCCCGCGUUUGCAAGCUUCCAACAUCCAGACGAUAUGUGCGGGGGAGCGAUCCUAGCCGAGCUCAUCCCGGCGCGGGUGCACCGCCCGCUGACGGUCGCCACGCUCUGGCCGGCGGCGGCGGCCGAUGGCAGGACCACUACCGCCGGCCGCAAGCGGAAGGCGUCCGACGUCGACGAGUCCGAGGCCGCAACCGACGACGAGUUCGAGGCCGAGUUCCGGCUUUUCGAGGAGGACGAGGAACCGUCUCCGGCCGCCUCGCCUGAAGCCGUCGGUGGCCGCAGGUCCAGGACUGCCCCUUCUCCUGCAGGUACGAUCAAUCAGACCACCGGCGGCCAACUUCGAGCUAGCACUUCGUCUGCAAGAAAGACGUGUUCACUUUUUUUCCUCGUGUUCCCGUGCGUGACGCAUGCACGGCACGCGGUUUCAGUUUCAGGCGCCGCCGUUUCCACGAGUCCGGGUCCAAGCAGCCACAAGAAGUACAGGGGCGUCCGGUACCGGCGGUCGGGCAGGUGGGCGGCGGAGAUCAGGGACCCGCGGCAGGGGCGGCGCGCGUGGCUCGGCACCUACUGCACCGCCGAGGAGGCCGCCCGGGCGUACGACCGCGAGGCCCACCGGAUCCGCGGGAAGAGCGCGCGCCUCAACUUCCCGAUCCCGCACGAGGACCUGCCCAGGCGGCGAACGCCGGUGGCCAUCGACCUGAACGUUGCGGCAGUUUCCGAUGAUCUCGACACCGUGGAUGUUGACGGAGAUGCGGGUGACAUUCGCCAUGAAGGUAAUACGUCGUGACAGCAUGCUUACACAGUUACACUUAAUUAACACUAGUUCAGUACAGUACUGAGUGUUCACUGGUACAAUGGCGUCGUUGCUGCAUGUCUUCGCAGAGAUGGGCGGUGAGGCGGUGAGGCGCACGAUAGCGUGGAUCAAGGAACUGAUAACGCAGGGUCCUCAGGACGAGAGGAUCGUGCCUGAACUGAAGAUGAACGGAGCGUUGCGGUAUGCGGCGUUGAUCGCCGAAUGCAGCCGUCAGAUGGAGGAGAUCGCCGCCCUGCGGAGGGACCUCGAGACCCGCGAGAGGCAGCUUGUCCGGCUGGUUUCAAAUGUG